AAGUCGUAACAAGGUUUCCGUAGGUGAACCUGCGGAAGGAUCAUUAACACAAUUUUACUGUGAUAAAAUCCAUUGAGUUAUCGAAUACCCUUCGUGAUUCAAUGGUAUCCACCCCAUUAUUGACGAACUUUUGUCUAGAUGUUGUAAAAAACAUAGAGCUCGUCUUUGUGUUUUUCAAAACAUUCUAAACACCCUUUUUCUAUACCCCAUCACAUCUUUUAACCCCUUUUACAACAUGCCUUAGACUGAAAUGAAAAUUUCUUUAUUAUCAAAACAAUGAUAAAAAACAACUUUUAACAACGGAUAUCUUGGCUCUC
RNAcentral lists this unclassified non-coding RNA (317 nucleotides) under fungal sp. RNAcentral describes it as "partial internal transcribed spacer region". The stretch from base 1 to 46 matches the Rfam family "Eukaryotic small subunit ribosomal RNA", at positions 1786 to 1831 of the family's 1831-position model. Lineage: Eukaryota; Fungi. The record is from RNAcentral.